GAUGAACGCUGGCGGCGUGCUUAACACAUGCAAGUCGAACGAUGAAGCCCAGCUUGCUGGGUGGAUUAGUGGCGAACGGGUGAGUAACACGUGAGUAACCUGCCCUUAACUCUGGGAUAAGCCUGGGAAACUGGGUCUAAUACCGGAUAGGAGCUUCCACCGCAUGGUGGGUGUUGGAAAGAUUUAUCGGUUUUGGAUGGACUCGCGGCCUAUCAGCUUGUUGGUGAGGUAAUGGCUCACCAAGGCGACGACGGGUAGCCGGCCUGAGAGGGUGACCGGCCACACUGGGACUGAGACACGGCCCAGACUCCUACGGGAGGCAGCAGUGGGGAAUAUUGCACAAUGGGCGCAAGCCUGAUGCAGCGACGCCGCGUGAGGGAUGACGGCCUUCGGGUUGUAAACCUCUUUCAGUAGGGAAGAAGCGAAAGUGACGGUACCUGCAGAAGAAGCACCGGCUAACUACGUG
This 466-nucleotide ribosomal RNA is filed under the name uncultured bacterium. RNAcentral describes it as "partial 16S ribosomal RNA". It matches the Rfam family "Bacterial small subunit ribosomal RNA", at positions 28 to 507 of the family's 1533-position model. The record is from RNAcentral.